RNAcentral lists this ribosomal RNA (253 nucleotides) under uncultured bacterium. RNAcentral's name for it is "partial 16S ribosomal RNA". It matches the Rfam family "Bacterial small subunit ribosomal RNA", at positions 524 to 776 of the family's 1533-position model. The record is from RNAcentral.
UACGUAGGGUGCAAGCGUUGUCCGGAAUUAUUGGGCGUAAAGAGCUCGUAGGCGGUUUGUUGCGUCGGCUGUGAAAUCCCGAGGCUCGACCUCGGGUCUGCAGUCGAUACGGGCAGACUAGAGGUAUGCAGGGGAGAACGGAAUUCCUGGUGUAGCGGUGAAAUGCGCAGAUAUCAGGAGGAACACCGGUGGCGAAGGCGGUUCUCUGGGCAUGACCUGACGCUGAGGAGCGAAAGUGUGGGGAGCGAACAGG